UACAGAGGUCUCAAGCGUUGUUCGGAUUUACUGGGCGUAAAGGGCGCGUAGGCGGCCACCGCAAGUCGACUGUGAAAUCUCCGGGCUUAACCCGGAAAGGUCAGCCGAUACUGCGGGGCUAGAGUGCAGAAGGGGCAACUGGAAUUCUCGGUGUAGCGGUGAAAUGCGUAGAUAUCUGGAGGAACACCGGUGGCGAAGGCGGCAUCCUGGACCGGUAUUGACGCUGAUGCGCGAAAGCCAGGGGAGCAAACGGG
Molecule: ribosomal RNA, 254 nt
Filed under: uncultured bacterium
Lineage: Bacteria
Description: partial 16S ribosomal RNA
Rfam family: Bacterial small subunit ribosomal RNA
Source: RNAcentral